CAGGGAGACAACAAAAUGUUUAAUAUUAUUAUUUUGUCACCUUAGGUCGAUCGGUAUCUCACGUUUUUAAUUUAUUAAAAAUUUCAUUUCCUAAGUUUUUCUAGGUCACACCCAUUAUUUUUUCCUGGGCCAUUAGCUCAGGUGGUUAGAGCGCACCCCUGAUAAGGGUGAGGUCCCUGGUUCAAGUCCAGGAUGGCCCAUAUCUCUAUGUUGGGGGUAUAGCUCAGUUGGUAGAGCGCCUGCUUUGCAAGCAGGAUGUCAGCGGUUCGAGUCCGCUUACCUCCACUGAUUACCACCUCUUCCAUAACCGGUAGAAAGGAAAUGUUUUGAGUUGUGAUCAACUUCUGAAAGAAUCUAGCUUCCUAAUGAAAUCAUUAAGAUGCUGGACUCAUUGAAUUAAUUUCAUUGUUUUCAGAGAACCUUGACAACUGCAUAGAUUAUUUUUAAAGACAAUAAGCAUCUUUAAUGAUGCAGAUUUAUUAUUUGUGCGAAUGCAUUAAUAACAAUUCUAUUAAGCUGAUGCUUCAAUUUUUGAAGUUAUU
Molecule: transfer RNA, 542 nt
Filed under: uncultured Prochlorococcus sp.
Lineage: Bacteria; Bacillati; Cyanobacteriota; Cyanophyceae; Synechococcales; Prochlorococcaceae
Description: partial 16S-23S ribosomal RNA intergenic spacer
Rfam family: tRNA (bases 213-285)
Source: RNAcentral